This 373-nucleotide ribosomal RNA is filed under the name uncultured Glomeromycotina. Its description in RNAcentral is "LSU rRNA". The record is from RNAcentral. Lineage: Eukaryota; Fungi; Glomeromycota.
UUGAAAGGGAAACGAUUGAAGUCAGUCGUACCUGUGGGUAAUCAGCCUUUUGGGUGUGAUUUUGUGGAGUGUGAGGAGUUAAACGCCUUCAUGCCUGCAUAUUCGUGCACUUUGGGUGUAUUUACCCGUGUGGUAAGUUAACAUCAAUUUCGGUGGUCAUAAAAUGGCUGGAGGAAUGUAGCUUCGAUCUUGUAUUGAAGUGUUAUAGCCUUCGGUAGAUGUGAUGAUCGGGAUUGAGGAUUGCAACGGAUACCCCUCGGGGCUACCUGUCUGGUCUCUGAUCGUUGCUCUGGUGCCGAAAGCUUGCUUACGGUUAUCAAAGUCGAUGGUCAAUAGGUUAGAACGGGUUAAAUUCGUUAAGGAUGUUGACGUA